RNAcentral lists this small nucleolar RNA (107 nucleotides) under Olea europaea subsp. europaea. RNAcentral's name for it is "Plant small nucleolar RNA R71". It matches the Rfam family "Plant small nucleolar RNA R71". Rfam says of the family: R71 is a member of the C/D box family of snoRNAs containing the C (UGAUGA) and D (CUGA) box motifs. Multiple nearly identical copies of this snoRNA have been identified in Arabidopsis, and it is thought to function as a 2'-O-ribose methylation guide for 18S ribosomal RNA. Lineage: Eukaryota; Viridiplantae; Streptophyta; Magnoliopsida; Lamiales; Oleaceae. The record is from Rfam by way of RNAcentral.
AUUCCAUGGUUUGGACACUUUCUUAUCUGCUCAUUAAAUCUAUUACAUGCCUCGUGGUAGCUUUCCCCUCCUUCUUCUUGAAAGGUUUGAAUCUCCAAUAUGAUUUU